GACGAACGCUGGCGGCGUGCUUAACACAUGCAAGUCGAACGGAAAGGCCCUGCUUUUGUUGGGUGCUCGAGUGGCGAACGGGUGAGUGACACGUGAGUAACCUGCCCUUGACUUUGGGAUAACUUCAGGAAACUGGGGCUAAUACCGGAUAGGAGCUCCUGCUGCAUGGUGGGGGUUGGAAAGUUUCGGCGGUUGGGGAUGGACUCGCGGCUUAUCAGCUUGUUGGUGGGGUAGUGGCUGACCAAGGCUUUGACGGGUAGCCGGCCUGAGAGGGUGACCGGCCACAUUGGGACUGAGGUACGGCCCAGACGCCUACGGGAGGCAGCAGUGGGGAAUAUUGCACAAUGGGCGGAAGCCUGAUGCAGCAACGCCGCGUGCGGGAUGACGGCCUUCGGGUUGUAAACCGCUUUCGACUGUGACGAAGCGUGAGUGACGGUAAUGGGUAAAGAAGCACCGGCUAACUACGUG
This 468-nucleotide ribosomal RNA is filed under the name uncultured bacterium. RNAcentral describes it as "partial 16S ribosomal RNA". It matches the Rfam family "Bacterial small subunit ribosomal RNA", at positions 28 to 507 of the family's 1533-position model. The record is from RNAcentral.